CGGCUAGUUUGUAUGCCGCCACCAAGAAGGCAGGCGAAGAAAUAACCCACACUUAUAAUCAUAUCUACGGUCUUUCAAUUACUGGAUUAAGAUUUUUCACCGUGUACGGUCCAUGGGGAAGGCCUGAUAUGGCGUAUUUUUCGUUUACGAGAAAUAUUCUGCAGGGAAAGCCCAUCACCAUUUAUCGGGGAAAGAAUCGGGUUGAUUUGGCACGAGAUUUUACCUACAUUGACGAUAUCGUGAAAGGCUGUUUGGGAUCGUUGGAUACAUCCGGGAAAAGCACCGGUUCUGGUGGGAAGAAAAAGGGGAACGCUCCAUAUAGGAUUUUUAAUUUGGGGAAUACGUCGCCGGUCAAGGUGCCGGAGCUGGUGAA
Molecule: long non-coding RNA, 373 nt
Filed under: Gossypium raimondii (Peruvian cotton)
Lineage: Eukaryota; Viridiplantae; Streptophyta; Magnoliopsida; Malvales; Malvaceae
Description: long non-coding RNA (GRAI_LNC009987)
Source: RNAcentral